RNAcentral lists this long non-coding RNA (16269 nucleotides) under Homo sapiens (human). Its description in RNAcentral is "non-protein coding lnc-ZNF708-2:11". The record is from RNAcentral. Lineage: Eukaryota; Metazoa; Chordata; Mammalia; Primates; Hominidae.
GUCUCUUGCUCCAGCCAGAGCUCGAGGUUAGCUCUUCACUGCCCUGUGUCUUCUUUCCAAGGGUCUCGGUGAUUCGGCCACAGCCUCAGCCUCCAUCACGCGGUGAACUGAUGGUGCUGGAAGAUUCAUAGACUCCAGGACAUUCCUGAAGCCGAGAAAAGGUUAAGUAGGGUCUGGCCUGGAAUACUCUCCUAGAUGAAGAUAGCCCAACCAUGAGCCACCUUCGAAGCAGAUGAGAUGAAAUUAAAGCUCUUCAACUCCUAAAGGCCCAGAGACUAUCACAAAAGAGGUCAGAAAUCCUGAAGGUCACUUUCUGACAAACUCAGGAACCCCAGGUUUAUCUUGGAGCCUCAAGAGGAGAUAAAUUCACCCAACUCAGGUAUUUGAUGGUACAAAUCCAUGUCUGGGGUUGGCUUUUAAAAAGUAUUAUCUGAGAUUCCUUCUGUGGAACAAAGUUCCAUCGGGGAAAAAUUGUGCAAAUGUAAUAAAUUUGGAAAAACACUUUUUCAAAAACUACAGCUUAGAAAACAACAGAGAGUUCAUACUGGAGUAUGCUUUUGCAGAUGCAGUACAUGUAAAAAAAUAUUUAAUCCAUAAUUAAGUCUAUGCAAAUAUCAGAAUUUAUGGUAGAAAUAUAUAAGGCACUGACACACUUCACGUAUUCUAAAUCAGUGCUGAGUAUAGGAAAUCUAAAACUAAAGUUGGCAGAAAAAUUAUUUGUAUGUAACUUUCAGAGGAUCAGAAGGUUUUUUGCAGAAUUAUAAUUACAUUCAAAGUAUAUUUCUUGAAAAAAAUACAGAUUUUUUGAAAAGUGAAUAAUGAUGUCAUUCAACUCUGAAAUUAUUUCCUGCUGUUUCUUCAUUCCUAUUGGAGUCAAAUGUGAAAGCAUAGGAUCAAUUGUUGCUGCGUCAAAGAUGUGAGAGAUUCUUUUUGUUUUGUUUUGUUUUCUGUUUUUUUGAGAUGGAAUUUCGCUCUUUUGCCCAGGCUGGAGUGCAGUGGAAUGAUCUUGGCUCACUUCCGUCUCCGCCUUCCAGUUUCAAGUGAUUCUCCUGCCUCAGCCUACUGAGUAGUUGGGAUUACAGGUGCCUGCCACCACACCCAGCUAAUUUUUGUAUUUUUAGUAAAGAUGGGGUUUCACCAUGUUGGCCAGGCUGGUCUCAAACUCCUGACGUCAUGAUCUGCCCGCUUCAGUCUCCCAAAGUGUGAUUACAGGUGUGAGCCACCAUGCCUGGCAAGGCAUUCUUUUUUAUUAGGGGGGUGUUGUUUAUUACCUCUUCUAUAGAAAAGUAAAGACAUUAAAAUGUAAGAUGCAUAAUAAAAAUCUAAGUGGAGAGGCUCUUAUAACCUAUAAUAUUGAGUGAUGCAUCAGGUAGGUGUUCAGAGUAAUCUGCAUUAUCAUGAGAAGAAAACAUGUUUAAUUUUAUUUAAAAUUAAAUGAGUAGUAUAUUAUUGUACUAAUUGUACUAAUUUUUUCUGAGACAGAGUUUUGCUCUUGGUGCCCAGGCUGGAGUGCAUUGGCACGAUCUCUGGCUCACUGUGACCUCUGCCUCCCAGAUUCAAGUGAUUCUCCUGCCUCAGCCUCCUGAGUAGCUGGGAUUACGGGCAUGUGCCCCCAUGCCUGGCUAAUUUUGAAUUUUUAGUAGAAACAGGGUUUCUCCAUGUUGGUCAGGCUGGUCUUGAACUGCCAACCUCAGGUGAUCUGCCCACUUUGGCCUCCCAAAGUGCUGGGAUUACAGGCAUGAGCCACCGAGCCUGGCCUGAUUGUACUUUUAUAUAAUAAAAUGCAGUACAUUUAUAAAUUUUAGAUUAUGUGUGAAGUUAAUAGUUUAAUUCAACAUUUUUAACAUGUUAAAUACUAUUGUGCAUUCAAUGAAGCGUUAUUAUGCCACAAACUUUAACCUCUUUCACCUUACUCAAGGGUAUAGGUAAAAGAUGGUAACAAUAUACUGUUUAGUAAGAUAAUAGAUUAACAUCUCUAGUGAUUUUUUUUUUUUGCCAGUGGCUUUCAACUGCAAAUAAGUUAAAGAAUAUUGUUUCUGUAGGUAAAUUUUUAUUCUGUUUUUAAUCAUUUAAAUUUAUUUUAAUUUUGGUGGCUGCAUGAGUAUCUAUGCAAUAUAUGGCAUGUUUUAAUACAGGAAUACAAUAUAUAAUAAUAAUAUCAGCAUUAAGUGAGGCAUCCUUCACCUGUAGCAUUUAUCCUAUGUUUUAUAAUCCAAUUCUACACUUUUUUUUAAAUUUAAAAUGUACAAUUAAAUUGUUAUUUACUACAGGGUUAUUUUUAUGGUCAUAAUAAAAAUUAUAUAUGAGUAUAAAUAAAAUUCAUUGUUAAAUUCUUAAUAUUUUUUCAAAUUUCUUAUAUAUUUUUCUUGGAACAUGUGGCCUGUCUGCCUGCAAACACAUAAGACUUUUAGUUUUGAUUUACAUAGAGUUAAAUAUUUAUUAAUCUAAAGACAAACCUUAGGUGUAAGAAAAUUAUGGAGUAAGUGUGUUGGGAGUUUGAGACCAGCCAGACCAACGUGGAUUAACCCCGUCUCUACUAAAAACACAAAAUUAGCCGGGCGUGGUGGCAUAUGCCUGUAAUCCCAGCUACUUGGGAGGCUAAGCCAGGAGAAUCGCUUGAGCAUGGGAGGCGGAGGCGGAGGUUGCAGUGAGCCGAGAUCACGCCAUUGCACUCCAGCCUGGGCAGCAAGAGUGAAACUCUGUCUCAAAAAAAAAAAAAAAAGAACUACAAAACAUUACUGAAAGUAAUCAGAGACAAUGCAAAUAAAUAAAUAAAAAAAAAGAACUACAAAACAUUACUGAAAGUAAUCAGAGACAAUGCAAAUAAAUAAAAAAAAUUUUAUGCUUAUGGAUUUGAGGAAUGAAUAUGAAAUAUCCAUGCUUCCUAGAUCAGCCUACAAAUUAAGUAUUAUUUUUAUGAAACUGUCAAUUACUUUUUUUUUAAAUGGGACAGAGUCUUGCACUGUCGCCUAAGCAGGAGUGCAGUGGUGCAAUCUCAGCUCGCUGCAACCUCCACCUCCCAGGUUCAAGUGAUUCUCGUACCUCAGCCUCCCACGUAGCUGGGAUUACAGUUGCCCACCAGCACACCUGGCUAAUUUUUGUAUUUUUAGUAGAGAGGGGGUUUUGCUGUGUUAACCAGGUUGGUCUUGAACCCCUGGCCUCAAGUGAUCCACCUGCCUCAGCCUCCCACCACCCUUUGCUGGGGUUACAGGCAUGAGCUACCACACCCAUCCCAACCCCAUAUUAUUUCUGAUAACAAAGCACAGCAACACGAUUUGAAUUUUGCUUGGAUCUUAAUUCAUAAAAGAAAGUUGAAUGCCAUUAAAAGGUGUUUAAUACACUUGCACCAGAAACAAGAGCAAGGCAAGCCAUGGGGGCGUGCCUCACAAAGGCUGUCUCAUGUAGGGGUGGGAAAGCAGAGUUACCAGGGAACUGGGACUAUUUCUUUAUGACUGUGAUGGUUGGAAGCAAAAACGUGGGGCUUUUCCCUAUUGAAUAAAAAGUAAAAAAAUGCAUGUUGAUGUCAGUGGUUGGGAAUAAUAUAACAUUUGCAGGCUCAUAAGAACUGCCUGACAAAAAGCAUGUAAACAACAGUGAUUGCUCUAUGGCCCUGUGAUUCAGCAGGCUUAUAGAGCAGUUAAGAAUAGCAGAUGUCAGCCAGGCGUGGUGGCUCAUGCCUGUAAUCCCAGGUGCCCACCACCAUGCCCAGCUAAUUUUUGUAUUUUUAGUAGAGAUGGGGUUUCACCAUGUUAGCCAGGCUGGUCUCAAACCCCUGACCUUGUGAUCCACCUGCCUUGGCCUCCCAAAGCGUUGGGAUUACAGGCAUAAACCAGCAUGCCCGGCUCAAGCUGUUCUCUUAUAAUAGAUGUAUUUUUUAUUUUUGUAAAAUUAAAAACAUAAAUUUUAGAUUUCUUAUUUACCUUUUUUUUUUGAGAUGGAGUCUUGCUCUGUCACCCAGGCUGAAGUGCAGUGGCAUGAUCUCGGCUCACUGCAAACUCCGCCUCCCGGGUUCAAGCAGUUCUCUGCCUCAGCCUCCUGAGUAGCUAGGGUUACAGUCGCCCACCACCAUGCCUAGCUAAUUUUUGUAUUUUUAGUAGGGACAGCGUUUAACCAUGUUGGCCAGGCUGGUCUUGAACUCCUGACCUCGUGAUUUUCCCAACUUGGCCUUCCAAAGUCGUGGGAUUACAUGUGUGAGCCACCACACCUGGGCUCUCUUUUAUUUCUUCUUCAGUCACUUUUUGCCACAUACCUUUCUGGAAAAAUAAUAAUUGUAUCUAAUUUUUUAAAUAUAAUGACAUAAAAUUGUUUAAAACAAUAUUAUGUUUAAAUCUUUUUUUUUUUUUUUUUUGAGACGGAGUGUCACUCUGUUGCCAGGCUGGAGUGCAAUGGCAUGGUCUUGGCUCACUACAACAUCCACCUCCUGGGUUCAAGCGAUACUCCUGCCUCAGCCCCCCAAGUAGCUGGGAUUACAGGUGCCCCCCACCACAACCAGCUAAUUUUUGUAUUUUUAGUAGAGACGGGGUUUUACCCCGUCAGGCUGGUCUUGAACACCUGACCUCAGGUGAUCCUCCCACCUUGGCCUCUCAAAAUUCUGGGAUUACAGGCAUGAGCCACCCUGCCUGGCUUCUAUUUUCUAAGGCUACCAAAUUGUUGGCAUAUCAUGUGUGCUCAACACACAUUUAGGUUAAAAGAAUGAAUACAUAUUCUUUGUAAACUGAAACUGCAAAUCAAGAUUAUAUUUUUACUUCCUAUAUUUUAGUUAACAGAAUCAAAUAGAAAAUAAAGUGUAGAAUUCAGAAAGCACUAUUGAAAGUUUAAUGUUAAACCAGGACUUGUGGGCAAAAAUAUAUUAAAAUUUUUUAGUUUCUAAAUUUGUGACCAUUAUAAUUACUUUUAAAUUCCCACAUGAGGAUGGAACAUGACUUCAGGAGAGCACAAUUUAAGAGGAAAAGGCAGAAAUAAAAAGAAAAAGAAUAAAAAUUUGAUCAGGUUAGAUAUGCAAGUUCUUCUGCAUAUUAUUUUUUAUACUAUUUUUUGUUUUUUAGAAAAUAAUUUUUUUUCAGCCAGGCGGGGUGGCUCAUGCCUGUAACCCCAGCAAUUUGGGAGGCUGAGUCGGGGUGAUCACAAGGUCAGGAGUUCGAGACCAGCCUGGCCAAUAUGGUGAAACCUCAUCUCUACUAAAAGUACAAAAAUUAGCCAGGCGUGGUGGUGGACGGCUGUAGUCCCAGUUGCUUGGGAGGCAAGGCAGGAGAAUCACUUGAACCCGGGAAGCAGAGGUUGCAGUGAGCCUAGAUUGUGCCACUGCACUCCAGCCUGGGUGACAGAGCGGGACUCCAUCUCACUUUAAAAAAUAAUAACAAUAAUUUUUUCCUCUGCUGGUUUAGAGUGAGGCUGGCUGGGGGAGCCUGGGCUCCUCUGUCCUCCCCGAGGUGGCAGUGGCUGAUGUCUGCUCAGGUGUGAGGGGGUGCUGCCAUCCUCUGGGCCUGAGGCUGCCUGGCCCAGCCCCUCCUAACUCCCUGGACUCUUCCACGGUGUCUUCAGGCCCCUACACCAUCCUUUGUGUAAGGGGAGGUGGCAGCAUAGAGAUGAUGGGGGAACUGCCCCAUGUGCCAAGGAAAGCUCACCCAUCUGUGCGAAAUGCUCUGGUUGACAUUGGGUUUUUGCGCACCAAACUGGGCCAUGACCAAGGUUUAUAACCAAGGUGUCUCCGGGCAUGGGCACUUUGGCUCUUGUAGAAACCACCCCACUGGCAGGAGACGGCGGUAGCUGUGGUCAUUGAAAACAAGCUCCUGCUGAUAAAUCUCAGACACCAGACACAGAAGAACCUGGAGACCCUGCCAGAGAGCUUGAGGCAAAUGGAUGGACUGUUGGAGCAGCUGAGGGUGAAGCAGCACAAACUCCUCAAAGUUGAAUAGCAAAGCAGCCACCAGAGAUGGACAAGAAAAAUGAACAAAGAAAAUUAGCAGAAAUCAAAGGCAGAUGCUAAAGCAGUGCAAAAUCAUUCAUUCAAUGAUAGAAAUGAAAUUGAUGAAGGAGUCUGGAAAAUGAAUGACAGAAGAGAAUUAAACAGCAGUGACCAUAGUAAGGUCCUGACGAUUCUGGUCCACUGAAUCCCAUCAUCCCUAAGACAGUAAAUAUCAUCACAGUCACCACCAGCAAGUUACCACCACAGCAUUUCCUGUUUGUUCCAAAAUGAAUAAAGAUGAUUCUCAUCACAAGGGCAAAUACAAAGUAGUUUAGUAUGUUUUUAACUAAACUAAAGGUGUUUGGUUUACUUUUUCUAAGUUCUCAUAAUUCUGAAAAUGCAGUUGACACUUGUGUGGCUCAUGAUGUUUUUAAUAGUCUAAUGCUACUUGAAUUGUUCAAAAACCACUGUAUUUUAAAUUAAGAUGAAUAAACGGUCCUUUGAAAACUGGCACAAGGCAAGGAUGCCCUCUGUCACCACUCCUAUUCAACACAGUAUUGGAAGUUCUGGCCAGGGCAAUCAGGCAAGGGAAAGCAAUACAGCGUAUCAAAAUAGGAAGAGAGGAAGUCAAAUUGUCUCUGUUUGCAGAUGACAUGAUUGCAUAUUUAGAAAACCCCAUCUUCUCAGCCCAAAACCUCCUUAAGCUGAUAAGCAACUUCAGCAGUCUCAGAAUACAAAAUCAAUGUGCAAAAAAUCACAAGCAUUCCUAUACAUUAAUAACAGACAAACAGAGAGCCAAAUCAUGAGUGAACUCCCACUCACAAUUGCUAGUAAGAGAAUAAAAUACCUAGGAAAAUACAGCUUACAAGGGACAUGAAGGACCUCUUCAAGGAGAACUACAAACCACUGCUCAAGGAAAUGAGAAGAGACAAACAAAUGGGAAAGCAUUCCAUGCUCAUGGAUAGGAAGAAUCAAUAUCGUGAAAAUGGCCAUAGUGCCCAAAGUAAUUUUAUAGAUUCAAUGCUAUCCUCAUUAAGCUACCAUUGAUUUUCUUCACAGAAUUGGAAAAAACUACUUUAAACUUCAUAUGGAACCAAAAAAGAGCCUGCACAACCAAGACAAUACUGGGCAAGAAGAACAAAGCUGGAAACAUCAGGCUACCUGGCUUCAAACUAUACUACAAGGCUACAGGAACCAAAACAGCAUGGUACUGGUACCAAACAGAUAUGUAGACCAGUGGAACAGAACAGGGCCUCAGAAAUUGAUAUCACUCUGUCACCAUCAAAAAAUACUUAUUUAGUGUCAAAUCCUACUGUGAAAUAGCAGAACUGUGGGAUUUGUAAAGUGGAAAUGCAGAAUUCAAAACAGAGAUAUAUACCAAUGGAACAGAGCAGAGGCCUCAGAAAUACCACCACACGGCUACAACAAUCUGAUCUUUGACAAACCUGACACACACAAGCAAUGAGAAAAAGAUUCCCUAUUUAAUAAAUGGUGUUGGGAAAACUGGCUAGCCAUAUGUAGAAAAUUGAAACUGGACCCCUUUCUUACCCGUUUUACAAAAAUCAACUCAAGAUGUAUCAAAGACUUAAAUGUAAGACCUAAGACCAUAAAAAUCCUAGAAGAAAACCUGGGCAGUACCAUUCAGGACAUAGGCAUGGGCAAAGCCUUCAUGUCCAAAACACCAAAAGCAGUGGCAACAAAAGCCAAAAUUGACAAAUGGGAUCUAAUUAAAUUAAAUAGCUUCUGCACAGCAAAAGAAACUCAUCAGAGUGAACAGGCAACUACAGAAUGGGAGAAAAUUCUUGCAAUCUAUCCAUCUGACAAAAGGCUAAUAUCUAGAAUCUACAAAGAAUUUAAACAGUUUACAAGAAACAAACAAACUGCCCCAUCAAAAAAUGGGCAAAGAUAUGGACAGACACUUCUCAAAAGAAAACAUUUAUGCAGCCAACAGACACAUGAAAAAAUGCUCAUCACUGGUCAUUAGAGAAAUGCAAAUCAAAACCACAAUGAGAUACCAUGUCACACCCGUUAGAAUGGCAAUCAUUAAAAAGUCAGGAAACAACAGUGCUGGAGUGGAUAUGGAGAAAUAGGAACACUUUUACACUGUUGGGAGUGUAAAUUAGUUCAACCAUUGUGGAAAACAGUGUGGCAAUUCCUCAAGGAUCUAGAACUAGAAAUAACAUUUGACCAAUUCCAUUACUGAGUAUAUACCUAAAGGAUUAUAAAUCAUUCUAUGAUAAAGACACAUGCACACGUCUGUUUAUUGUGGCACUAUUCACAAUAGCAAAGACUUGAAACCAACCCAAAUGUCCAUCAAUGAUAGACUGGGUAAAGAAAAUGUGGCACAUAUACACUGUGGAAUACUGUGCAGGUGUAAAAAAGGAUGAGUUCAUGUCCUUUGCAGGGACAUGGAUGAAGCUGGAAACCAUCAUUCUCAGCAAACUAGCACAAGAUCAGAAAACCAAACGCUGCAUGUUCUCACUCAUAAGUGGGAGUUGAACAGUGAGAACACAUGGACACAGGGAGGUGAACAUCACACACUGGGGCCUGUCAGGUGCUGGGGGGCUAAGGGAGGGAUAACAGGAAAAAUACCUAAUGUAGGUGACGGGUUGAUGGUUGCAGCAAACCACCAUGGCACAUGUGUACACGUAUGUAAUAAAACUGAUGUUCUUCACAUGUAACCCAGAACUUAAAGUAUAAUAAUAAAAAGAAGAAUAAAUAUUUGUUUUAUAUAUUUAAAGCUUAGAAUCACAAAUAAUGCUUCUGUUUAUGAUUUGAAAACUUCAAAGUUUGGUUUUCCUUCUGUACAUACACAAAACAUUGUAUUGUGCUGAAAUAUUUGUUUUUUAAAGUGGCAGUCAUAGUUCCUGUCUGUCCGGAUAUAUAUAUGUAUAUAUGUUAAGCAUAACAUAAGAAAGAAAUUUCAUUAGCUGGGCAUGAUGGCUCACUCCUGUAAUCCCAGAACCUUGGGAGGCUGAGGUGGGUGGAUUGCCUGAGGUCAGGAGUUUGAGACCAGCCUGGCCAACAUAGUGAAACCUCGUCUCUACUAAAAAUACAAAAAAUUAGGUGGGCGUGGUGGCAGGCACCUGUAAUCCCAGCUACUAGGGAGGCUGAGGCAAGAGAACGGCUUGAACCUGGGAGUCAGAGGUUGACGUGAGCCGAGAUCACACCAUUGCACUCCAGCCUGGUGACAGAGUGAGACUCUGUCUGAAAAAAAAAAAAAAAGAAAAAUUUUAUUUUGUUUUCGGUAAUCUAAGAUUGUUGUACACAAAAACUUUACAGAUUAUGGUAGGGUUUAGCAAACUGUGUAUAUAACGUAACAUUAAUAUCGCUAUUUUCUGAUGUCUAACUUUUAGGAAAGAUUUUUUGUUUACAAAUGUCUCCACAAAUUCUGGCUUAUUUUAUAAAAAUAGCAGAAUACUAAAGAAAUGGGUGGUUUGCCACACUACAUGAAUUCACACACUACUGGCAUUCAAUUAAAAUAGCAAAUAUUUUCCUCAAAAUUUAGACAGAUGAAAUAAUUUCUUGAUUUUUGAGUGCAGUGACAGACAUUCACAAAUAUUUCAGAAAUCAAAGCUGUAUUAGGUUUUACUUAGUAGUAAUAUGUAUAUAAGAUCAAGGAUCUGUUCAGAAUAGAUAUUUUUCAUCAAUAAUUUGGUGCUUUCAAAUACCCAGAAGUCUUGUUUUAAUCAGAUGAAGUCUGAGGAUAGUUUAGUAAUUUUACUUUUUGUAUGAUGUGUUCACAAUUUUCUAAUUUAACCUAGUAUUGAUUGAUGAUGGGUAAACCAACUUUUUUUUUUAAUCUCGUAGGUUUAUUAUGUUGUUGAAGAUGUUUUUAGUUAGAAUUCUGUCUUUCAAAAUUGUUUACAGAGAUUUAGGUCUAGUUGAAUUUGCUCAACCUGUUAAUCAGUGUCAGCUGCCAGAUUCUAAUUCAUUUUUAGUGUGCCUGUACUUUUCUUUCUCUAAACUAAAUUUAUAUUCUCUAUAUUACUUGUUCAAAUGUGAUAUAAUACAGCUCACACAUUUAAAACAAAACCAUGAGGACAAAUUAAUUCUGGCUUAGUAUAAAGAAGCUGUUACCAAAUUAGUGUUACAUAUGCAGAUGGAUGCAGCUCAACAAAAUUUUACACAAAAAAAAUUGAAUUGAACUACACGUGUUGCCAUGACUUAGCCUCUAAUGAUCUCGUGAAUAAAGACAAAUUUCAACACAUUUAUUCAUUUGCUUUCAUUAUGUCUAAUGGUAGUGUGUCAAAAAUUCUCAUGCUACUGUCUGAGAAAACACGUUCUACUUUUACUUAAGAAAUCAACUGAAUGGCAUUUUUAUAACCUUGCACCACAUAAGGAAAAACUGCAAUGUAGUCUGCGUGGAAAAGGAUAAUCCAGAAUGUCACUUUCAAUAUUUAAGUAUUUAACCUUUUGGUUGAAAAAUGUAGUAAAAUACGGAUGCCAAGCCGAGGCUGGACUGUGCUGCCGCCAUCUCGGCUCACUGCAACAUCCCUGCCUGAUUCUCCUGCCUCAGCCUGCCGAGUGCCUGGGAUUGCAGGCGCAUGCCGCCACGCCUGACUGGUUUUUGUAUUUUUUGGUGGAGACGGGGUUUCGCCAUGUUGGCCAGGCUGGUCUCCAGCUCCUGACCGCGAGUGAUCUGCCUGCCCGGGCGUCCCGAGGUGCCGGGAUUGCAGACGGAGUCUCGCUCACUCAGUGCUCAAUCUUGCCCAGGCUGGAGUGCAGUGGCGUGAUCUCAGCUCGCUACAACCUCCACCUCCCAGCCACCUGCCUUGGCCUCCCAAAAUGCCCAGAUUGCAGCCUCUGCCCGGCUGCCACCCUGUCUGGGAAGUGAGGAGCGUCUUUGCCUGGCCGUCCAUCAUCUGGGAUGUGAGGAGCCCCUCUGCCCGGCUGCCCAGUCUGGGAAGUGAGGAGCGCCUCUUCCCGGCCGCCAUCCCAUCUAGGAAGUGAGGAGCGUCUCUGCCCAGCCACCCAUCGUCUGAGAUGUGGGGAGCGCCUCUGCCCCGCUGCCCCGUCUGGGAUGUGAGGAGCGCCUCUGCCCGGCCACAACCCCGUCUGGGAUCUGAGGAGUGUCUGUCUCUGCCCGACCGCCACCCCGUCUGGGAGGUGAGGAGCGUCUCUGCCUGGCCGCCCCGUCUGAGAAGUGAGGAGCCCCUCCGCCCGGCAGCCGCCCCGCCUGGGAAGUGAGGAGCGUCUCCGCCCGGCAGCCGCCCCGUCCGGGAGGUGGGGGGCAGCCCCCGCCCAGCCAUCCGCCCCGUCCAGGAGGGAGGUGGGGGGGUGCCUCUGCCCGGCCACCCCGUCUGGGAAGUGAGGAGCCCCUCUGCCCGGCCGCCACCCCGUCUAGGAGGUGUACCCAACAGCUCAUUGAGAACGGGCCAUGAUGACAAUGGCGGUUUUGUCGAAUAGAAAAGGGGGAAAUGUGGGGAAGGAAAGAGAGAUCAGAUUGUUGCUGUGUCUGUGUAGAAAGAAGUAGACAUGGGAGACUCCAUUUUGUUCGGUACUAAGAAAAAUUUUUCUGCCUUGGGAUGCUGUUAAUCUAUAACCUUACCCCCCACCCCCCACCCCGUGCUCUCUGAAACAUGUGCUGUGUCCACUCAGGGUUAAAUGGAUUAAGGGCGGUGCAAGAUGUGCUUUGUGAAACAGAUGCUUGAAGGCAGCAUACUUGUUAAGAGUCAUCACCACUCCCUAAUCUCAAGUACCCAGGGACACAAACACUGUGGAAGGCCGCAGGGUCCCCUGCCUAGGAAAACCACAGACCCUUGUUCACAUGUUUAUCUGCUGACCUUCCCUCCACUGCUGUCCUAUGACCCUGCCAAAUCCCCGUCUCUGAGAAACACCCAAGAAUGAUCAAUAAAUACUAAAAAAAAAAAAAAAAAAAAGUAGUAAAAUAGAGCUCUUGGUAAGUUUUGUGUAGCUUAACAUCAGCAUAAAGUAGGAAAAAAUAUCUUUAAAAAUGUAAACGGACAAAAACCUACACCAAAAAAACAAACAUACACCAAUGCAUACAUAUUGACUGAAGCUCCAGGGAUGUAAAAUAAUUUCUCCUGGGUACACAGCUAGUGACCCAAAUCAAGCUCAAAUAUGUUUGAUUUUAAAAUUGUCAUUUUCUCACUUUUGACAAUAUUGACAUAACAGGUAAAUCUUUGUCUCAGAGUUGAUAGUUGAAAAUAAACUAAGAUAAGUAUUAUUGAAGCUGGCUAGCUAGCCAAGAAGGUCACCAUGUCCUCAGGAUGCAGCAGCCAUGGCGAUUUCCUGGUGAUAGCAUAUUAUCAACACAAUAAACCCCAACAUUUGCAUUGCGUUUCAGCUCAUUCAAGCAAAGCUCUCUAGUAGGGAUAUUCCCCCAUAAAGAGCAUGCACAUUUUGAUUUUACUUGUCCUCUGACCUUUUACUCAUCGUAAUACUAAAAAACACACACGUGAGUGGAGUUUUUGCUAAUGAGAUGCUAAUUAGAUAUGUGACAUAUGCUAAUGAGAUAUGUGACAUAUAAACAAGCAUGUACAGCCACUGUGUAUGUGCACCAAGAGGACCACCCAGAACAUGCUUACUAAUAACACCACUUUCUAACUCUUUGUAAAUAAUUAUGUAAGACUCCGAUAAAUGGAGUCUCUCUAUUUCCAGUCUUUGCUGUCUCAUUCUUAUAAGCAGCCCAUCCUGAAUUGCUUUUCUCUCAGGGGUGUUUUGCACCGCACUUUUAAAAUAGUGUUUCUACUUUGCGAUAAAUCUAUCUAUGCUGCAUCCUCAUUUUUUUGCGUCUCGUUUAAAUUUUUGAAACUAAGAACCGAGGUCUCACAACAGCCUUCAGGACUAUUGUGCUUUGUUUUGUUUUCUUAACAUUAUUUUAUGUGAUAUUUCAUAUUUACAUUUUCAACAUAGCCAAAACUGCUAAAUUAAAAACUUAAAUGAUCAUGCUUUUAAAGUGAUUUGUCUUAAAAGCAUGUAUGUAUAUUUUUCAAGUUUCAGCUUUAUGUAUUCAAAUUUUUUAAAAAUUCUGACACAUAUAUCUAUCAAAUUUAAUAUUUUAAAUAAUUUGAAUUCACUUCCAAAAUGAUUUAUAUUCAUUGUUAUAUUUCAUUUUGACCAAAUUUGGCUUUCCAAGCUAAAGAAAUGCUCUGUAGUAAAAUAAAGGCUCAUGUUUUUAUCAAUAAUAUUUUAUGUCUGAGGACUUAAGCAUCAAGGACAGAAAUCUGGAUGAUGUUGAGUGAAUAUUUAAAUUGAUAAAGUAGAAAUUAUCAGAAUCAAAUAAGGGGUGGAUCCAGAAACAUAGUACUUAAUAAAACCAUUCAGGGUAUGUUUGACAAACAAGAAGAUUGCAUAGGAUCUGCACUGCACUACUAAUGUAAAGCGUUCUCUGUAACUUUAUUCUCCACGUACUCAUACACAAAAUGAAUAAGAUUAACUCCUUUUCCUGGAAGGCAGUGAUUCCUCUUUUAUUCUGUUACAUCUGUUCCACAUUGCUGUGAUAAUGCUGUUGAAGUGCACCCCCUUACACCAGAAGAUCACCUGUGUGAAUGUGAAUAGACUGACACUGGAGAGGACCAGCUCAGCACAGUCACUUGAACUGCCCCUUUGCAUUUCAGGCAGGUAAAAUGCCUUUGAAGAGUGAAAAUAAAGUUACUGCUGAUUAAGCAGAGAGUUUGACUUGCUGAUCAAUUUGAUCAGAAGCCUCUCAAUGAGAUAAUUACUGCAUUUAUUUAUUUCAAGAAAAGUAAAAGCCAAAGCCCAGAAUGUGGCAAGGCAAGAGUUGAAAAGAAAAGAACAAGUUUUUCUUUGCCUAGCAAGCUCACUUCAAGGACAGUUAUAAGAUAAUGCUGUUUGAGAAGUUGAAACCAAAGAAAUAGGCUCCAGACACUCCCCUCCGAAGCAAGGGUGAAGGAAACAAAGAAAAACAAACGUCUGUAUUUAGCCAGUUCUUGUUUUUUCUUUCAAUGCAGCUACAAGGCCACCAGCUAUUAAAGGCCACAAGUUAUGCCAAGAAUUCAGUUAUGCUAUAAAUUACAUAAACUGGUCAUUAUAUAAUUAACUGCCUUUGUUUUGCUUCUGUAAGUUUACUUAUUAAAAUCUCACUCAGUCUUUGUUCAAGGCUCAGCUUUUUGGAUGUGAAUUCACUGAGCCAGAGCAUACCUUAAAAUAAAUAUCCUCCUUUAUUGACUCAUACUGGUCUCUCUAGUCCUCUGUGUCCCACAUUUCUUGGCGAGCCAGCCAGGAGCAGAGACUGUCUCCUUUGCCUUGAAAUCGGGGCUGGAGCCCCGGAUUCAAGGGAAAAUCGGGGCUGGAGCCUUGAUUCAAGGGAAACCUGGGACCCAGGCACCGCCGGGAGAACUUCAGCCCGGAGGGGAAAUCAGCUCUCCCAUGACCCGGCAUCCCUACCCAGCAGUGCAACGGAGCCUGAGAAGGGCUACAGGAUGAUUCCAGAAAUAGCGCACUUUAGGAACCACGGUAAGUUAUUGGGGACCAAGGCAGGACCCGUCCCGUAAGGACGGAAGGGGAGCCUGAUCACCUCCCGGGGUGUAACUAGUAGUCCGACCCAGAGAGGCUUGGGGCGGCAAGAGGGGCUUGCCAAUUCAGAAGAAUCUCACACCUCAACCAACACAGGAUGCGAGAGUGGCUUGCUUAGUUGGUUAGGUAAAGGAAACUGGAGGUGGUGAGAGUUGCUUGCCACCCCAAUUAGGAACACAGGAACUGGGAACAGGGACGUAUAUAAAAGUGUGUGAAAGAUGGUUCCAGGAGAAUACAAUGCAAGGAGUGACGUGGGGAGUCACAGAUCUCUUAGCAUUGACUGUGUGCUCCGAGCAAAGUAUGGGGCUGCCCUGGACUAGUGGUGAACUGUAUACGUCCAAUAGGAGUUGCCCCACAGCUCAGAGUUGUGGUGGGAAUAAGGACCUCUCCAAAGCCAAGCAGCAUCUGAAAACUCCCGUAAUUGGGGAUGGUCUGGUCAGUCUGAGGCAAAAGGAAGAGUGGGUGUGCUGCGUAGUAAAGGGAGGAAAUGGGAGUAAAGUCAUCAAAGUCCACUCCAUUGGAGCGCAUGUUACAGAACUUUAAAGAAGGUUUUACAGGGAAUUAUGGAGUUAAGCUAACCCCCCAGAGGUUAAGAACUCUCUGUGAAUUAGAACUGCCUUCUUUUAGUGUUGGAUGACUGAUUGAAGGAACUAUAGAUAGGAAAAUAAUUGGCCGUGUAUUUAAGGUGGUGACAGGUCAGAGGACAGCCUCGGCAUCCAGAUCAGUUUCCUUAUAUUGACUCAUGGUUAAAUCUAGCACAAACAAGACCAGCCUGAAUCCAGCCCUGUUUAGCAGCUUAUUGCAAAACACUUGUGGCCUAAGCCAAGCCAAAAAAUGAAAGUAAGAGCAGCUUCGCUAGCAGAUACAGAGUUAAAGAAGAAGGCCCAGAGGGAGCAAGAAAAGCCAGUUUUGCAGGAGCCACCAGAGGGAAUAAAGAUUCCUACUCCAUAUGUCACAGCCUACCCCACUUUACCAAGGCCAGCAGCCCCCUGGGAACCAGAUUCAGGUGCUAGCACACCCCAACUCUCACCCUGAAAUGAAAGACUGGAGACUUGAGAGGUCAGGGAAAGAAGUCAAGAUAGUCAAGCAGGCCAUCUCAGAUCUGGUUGUGCUUGAGAUAUGCAAAUGCCUCUCAGGGAGACACGAGGACCCAUUUAUUAAGAUAACCAAGGCCAAGUCCAAGGGUGGGAAUGGACUUUCAUCUGUCAGCCCUUUUCAACCACUGAUCUCUUAAACUGGAAACACCAUACUCCCUCCUAUAUGGAGAAGCCCCAAGCUCUUAUAGAUCUGAUGCAGUCCAUCUUUCUGACACAGAAUCCAACCUGACCAGACUGCAGGCAGCUGCUUCUCAUGCUGUAUAACACUAAGGAGCACAGGAUAGUAACCUAGACAGCUCUCUGCUGGCUAGAAGCCCAUGCACGAGCAGAUGCAGUAAAUAGGCAGGCUGGCUGCGGUGGCUCAUGCCUGUAAUCCCAGCACUUUGGGAGGCUGAGACAGGUGGAUCACGAGGUCAGGAGAUCGAGACCAUCCUGGCUAACAUGGUGAAACCUUGUCUCUACUAAAAAUACAAAAAAAUUAGCUGGGCGUGGUGGCGGGUGCCUGUAGUCCCAGCUACUUGGGAGGCUGAGGCAGGAGAAUGGUGUGAACCUGGGAGGCAGAGCUUGCAGUGAGCCGAGAUGGUGCCAGUGCACUCUAGCCUGGGUGACAGAGCGAGACUCCAUCUCAAAAAAAAAAAAGAAAAUGCUCAGGCAUAUGCUCAGGGCCAGUUCCCAGACCAAAAUCCCAACUGGGACUCAGAAGAUGCGACUCAGCUUCAGCAUUUGCAGAGGUACCAAAAGGCACUUAUGCAAAGGCUAAGGGAU